CCUACGGGUGGCAGCAGUGGGGAAUAUUGCACAAUGGGGGGAACCCUGAUGCAGCGACGCCGCGUGGGUGAAGAAGCGCCUCGGCGCGUAAAGCCCUGUCAGCCGGGAAGAAAAUGACGGUACCUGAAGAAGAAGCCACGGCUAACUACGUGCCAGCAGCCGCGGCAAUACGCAGGGGGCCAGCGUUAUCCGGAGUUACUGGGGGUAAAGGGGGGGCAGACGGCGAAGCAAGCCCGGAGGGAAAGCCCGGGGCCCAACCCCGGGACGGCUCUUGGAACUGCGUGGCUGGAGUGCAGGAGGGGCAGGCGGAAUUCCUGGUGUAGCGGUGAAAUGCGUAGAUAUCAGGAGGAACACCGGUGGCGAAGGCGGCCUGCUGGACUGAAACUGACGUUGAGGCCCGAAAGCGUGGGGAGCAAACAGGAUUAGAUACCCUAGUAGUC
Molecule: ribosomal RNA, 440 nt
Filed under: uncultured bacterium
Lineage: Bacteria
Description: partial 16S ribosomal RNA
Rfam family: Bacterial small subunit ribosomal RNA
Source: RNAcentral